Molecule: ribosomal RNA, 301 nt
Filed under: uncultured bacterium
Lineage: Bacteria
Description: partial 16S ribosomal RNA
Rfam family: Bacterial small subunit ribosomal RNA
Source: RNAcentral
CAGUAGCCGCGGUAAUACGAAGGGGGCUAGCGUUGUUCGGAAUUACUGGGCGUAAAGGGCGCGUAGGCGGCCAUUCAAGUUAGAUGUGAAAGCCCUGGGCUCAACCUAGGAAUUGCAUUUGAUACUGUUUGGCUUGAGUUCGGGAGAGGUGAGUGGAAUUCCCAGUGUAGAGGUGAAAUUCGUAGAUAUUGGGAAGAACACCGGUGGCGAAGGCGGCGACCUGGUCCUUGACUGACGCUGAGGCGCGAAAGCGUGGGGAGCAAACAGGAUUAGAUACCCGAGUAGUCCCUGUCUCUUAUAU